AAAGUUUGGAUGUGGCAGCAUGAAAGCCGGCCUGCGGCAGUAGCGCGAGCUCAAAGUAAACUAUUUGGGUUGUCAAGGGAACGGAAUUUAAUUCUCAACUGCCAGAGUCGGGGCUUGUUGAUGAGCUCUGCUUUACAAAAUGGAUUAAAAGUAUGUAUUUAAGCCGCUUUAAUGGUUCAAGGGCUUGACGGCUUGUUUUGCGAUAUACUACUCGUUAACGAGUACCAGCAUUCAUUUCCAGGCAGCAUUAGAGUCACUCACUACCUGUCCUGAACCGAGUUUGUUAUCUCACGUAGCUAGCAACAUUAGCUAAAGUUAAGAUAGCAAAACCGCAACAUUUCACAGAUGACAGAAACCUCAGUGGAUCCACACAAGAGCUCAGGAACAGCAGAGAGCAGGGACUUCUCUCAUCACCUGGACAGAAACUAGCUGACCAGAACCCAUAAGAAACAGCUACAAAAGAGCUGUUCAUGCUACAGUGACUGUGCUGUGGAUACUGUGCCAGGUGUCAACAUGCAUGGACCAGACCACAAAUACCAGCUGUUACUGCUACAGUGGCGGUGAUGUGGAUGCUGUGCCAGUUGUCAACAUGCAUGGACCAGACCACUAAUACCAGGUGUUAAUGCUACAGUGGCUGAUGCAGAUGCUGUGCCAAAUGCCAGCAUGGAUCUGCCGGAUCACUAACCGCAUGUGUCUACAUCAGAUUGGGGAGUUGGACACACUGUGUAUGCCCGAUGUACAUCAGAAGGCUUUCCAGGCAGGCCGACCUGACCAAUUGACGACAUCUAUGCAUACUUUGGAGCCCUUCUUCCUGGAGAAGACCACAAAGCUACUUACACUAAUAUAAAUAAAUGUUUACUUUCAUUGUUGAAAAA
This is a long non-coding RNA of Engraulis encrasicolus (European anchovy), 875 nucleotides long. RefSeq lists it as uncharacterized. The transcript is spliced from 7 exons. NCBI's taxonomy places the organism in Eukaryota, Metazoa, Chordata, Actinopteri, Clupeiformes, Engraulidae. The record is from RefSeq and is a predicted model, not a curated record.